This 346-nucleotide ribosomal RNA is filed under the name uncultured bacterium. RNAcentral describes it as "partial 16S ribosomal RNA". It matches the Rfam family "Bacterial small subunit ribosomal RNA", at positions 338 to 700 of the family's 1533-position model. The record is from RNAcentral.
CCUACGGGUGGCAGCAGUGGGGAAUAGUGCACAAUGGGGGAAACCCUGAUGCAGCGACGCCGCGUGAGUGAAGAAGUAUUUCGGUAUGUAAAGCUCUAUCAGCAGGGAAGAAGAAAGACGGGACCUGACGAAGAAGCCCCGGCUAACUACGUGCCAGCAGCCGCGGUAAUACGUAGGGGGCAAGCGUUAUCCGGAUUGACUGGGGGUAAAGGGAGCGUAGAAGGCUGUGCAAGUCUGAAGGGAAAGCCCAGGGCUCAACCCGGGGACUGCUUUGGAAACUGUGGAGCUCGCGUGCUGGAGAGGUAAGUGGCAUUCCUCGUGUAGCGGUGCACUGCGUCGAUAUUAG